RNAcentral lists this ribosomal RNA (223 nucleotides) under Podostictina pickeringii. RNAcentral describes it as "partial 26S ribosomal RNA". It matches the Rfam family "Eukaryotic large subunit ribosomal RNA", at positions 1 to 222 of the family's 3401-position model. The record is from RNAcentral. Lineage: Eukaryota; Fungi; Ascomycota; Lecanoromycetes; Peltigerales; Lobariaceae.
UCGACCUCGGAUCAGGUAGGGAUACCCGCUGAACUUAAGCAUAUCAAUAAGCGGAGGAAAAGAAACCAACAGGGAUUGCCUCAGUAACGGCGAGUGAAGCGGCAACAGCUCAAAUUUGAAAUCUGACCCCGUCGGGGCCCGAGUUGUAAUUUGUAGAGGGUGUUUCGGGUGCGGCGCCGGUCUAAGUUCCUUGGAACAGGACGUCAUAGAGGGUGAGAAUCCC